CCUGGUGGUUGAAGCGGGGUGGAACCACCCGUUCCCAUCCCGAACACGGAAGUGAAACGCCCCAGCGCCGAAGAUACUGAGGCCGCAAGGCCUUGGGAAAAUAGGUCACUGCCAGGA
RNAcentral lists this ribosomal RNA (117 nucleotides) under Chloroflexota bacterium. Lineage: Bacteria; Bacillati; Chloroflexota. The record is from RNAcentral. RNAcentral also lists the same sequence under 1 other name.